UUCUGUGGCCAGUACACAGACAGCUUUUUACAGGAAAUGACUGAGUAGAGCUUAGUUCCUCCUGUUGGAGGCAUGAGCAAAGCUGAAGCUCCUUGUAGAGCAACAGACAAGUGUCAAACCAAGGUAUGGCUUUGUGCAACUAAUUGAAAGUAUUGACCAGGAAGAUGGCUGAAGGAGUGAUCCCAGAUCUGCCACCUCAAUCCCCUGCAUCAAUCAAGGUUUAUGGAACCGUGGAAUCAACAGAGCAAUCUCAAGGAUCAUCACAGCCACCUACCAGAAGGGCUUACAUCGCAAUUGUUACACUUUGCCAUCUGAACCUGGUGAAUUAUAUGGACUGGUUUCUCGUAGCAGGAGUGCUUCUGGACAUACAGAAAUACUUUAAUUUUAAAGACCAGACUGCGGGCCUGUUACACACUGUUUUCAUUAUCUGUUUCUUGUUCUCGGCUCCUGUUUUUGGAUACCUUGGGGACCGAUACAAUCAGAAAAUCAUCCUCAGCAUUGGAAUAUCCCUCUGGUCAACUGUUACCUUUUGUAGCUCCUUCAUCCCUGCAUCG
Crotalus tigris (Tiger rattlesnake) is the source of this 554-nucleotide long non-coding RNA. RefSeq lists it as uncharacterized. NCBI's taxonomy places the organism in Eukaryota, Metazoa, Chordata, Lepidosauria, Squamata, Viperidae. The transcript is spliced from 3 exons. The record is from RefSeq and is a predicted model, not a curated record.